RNAcentral lists this ribosomal RNA (492 nucleotides) under uncultured bacterium. Its description in RNAcentral is "partial 16S ribosomal RNA". It matches the Rfam family "Bacterial small subunit ribosomal RNA", at positions 29 to 507 of the family's 1533-position model. The record is from RNAcentral.
AGUGAACGCUGGCGGUAGGCCUAACACAUGCAAGUCGAACGGCAGCACAGUAAGAGCUUGCUCUUACGGGUGGCGAGUGGCGGACGGGUGAGGAAUACAUCGGAAUCUACUUUUUCAUGGGGGAUAACGUAGGGAAACUUACGCUAAUACCGCAUACGACCUACGGGUGAAAGCAGGGGAUCUUCGGACCUUGCGCGAUUGAAUGAGCCGAUGUCGGAUUAGCUAGUUGGCGGGGUAAAGGCCCACCAAGGCGACGAUCCGUAGCUGGUCUGAGAGGAUGAUCAGCCACACUGGAACUGAGACACGGUCCAGACUCCUACGGGAGGCAGCAGUGGGGAAUAUUGGACAAUGGGCGCAAGCCUGAUCCAGCCAUACCGCGUGGGUGAAGAAGGCCUUCGGGUUGUAAAGCCCUUUUGCUGGGAAAGAAAAGCAGCAGGUUAAUACCCCGCUGUUCUGACGGUACCCAAAGAAUAAGCACCGGCUAACUUCGUG